Haliotis rubra (blacklip abalone) is the source of this 112-nucleotide long non-coding RNA. RefSeq lists it as uncharacterized. Lineage: Eukaryota; Metazoa; Mollusca; Gastropoda; Lepetellida; Haliotidae. The record is from RefSeq and is a predicted model, not a curated record. The transcript is spliced from 3 exons.
UUUCGCCCUGAAAUAUUUUUCGCUCUACCACCAUGUAUAGUGUAAUAAAGCACACUUUCGCCCUAAACUAUUAUAGUUUAUAACGAGGACGCUUGCGUAGAGCGAACUGUAC